UACGUAGGGUGCGAGCGUUGUCCGGAAUUAUUGGGCGUAAAGAGCUCGUAGGCGGUGUGUCACGUCGGCCGUGAAAACCUGGGGCUUAACUCUGGGCGUGCGGUCGAUACGGGCAUCACUAGAGUUCGGCAGGGGAGACUGGAAUUCCUGGUGUAGCGGUGAAAUGCGUAGAUAUCGGGAGGAACACCAGUGGCGAAGGCGACUUCCUGGCCUGUUCUUGACGCUGAGGCGCGAAAGCUAGGGGAGCAAACGGG
Molecule: ribosomal RNA, 254 nt
Filed under: uncultured bacterium
Lineage: Bacteria
Description: partial 16S ribosomal RNA
Rfam family: Bacterial small subunit ribosomal RNA
Source: RNAcentral